Molecule: ribosomal RNA, 155 nt
Filed under: epacrid root endophyte AP-8
Lineage: Eukaryota; Fungi; Ascomycota
Description: 5.8S ribosomal RNA
Rfam family: 5.8S ribosomal RNA
About the family: 5.8S ribosomal RNA (5.8S rRNA) is a component of the large subunit of the eukaryotic ribosome.
Source: RNAcentral
AAAACUUUCAACAACGGAUCUCUUGGUUCUGGCAUCGAUGAAGAACGCAGCGAAAUGCGAUAAGUAAUGUGAAUUGCAGAAUUUAGUGAAUCAUCGAAUCUUUGAACGCACAUUGCGCCCCUUGGUAUUCCGAGGGGCAUGCCUGUUCGAGCGUC